Molecule: non-coding RNA, 136 nt
Filed under: Carnobacterium divergens DSM 20623
Lineage: Bacteria; Bacillati; Bacillota; Bacilli; Lactobacillales; Carnobacteriaceae
Description: Enterococcus sRNA 68 (Lacto-3 RNA)
Rfam family: Enterococcus sRNA 68 (Lacto-3 RNA)
About the family: Name 'Ref' stands for RNA in E. faecalis. Also known as Lacto-3 RNA.
Source: Rfam by way of RNAcentral
UGCGAUGAGUUGACUCAAUCAGAUAACUUUUAGUUAUUUCGCUGCGGCGACUAGUGAUUGAACAAAGGCAGGGCAUAUGUACUUCGAGUACAACUACAAGAUGUAGAUGUUUGGACCCCUCUGUUUUGUGGAAUUC